AGAGUUUGAUCCUGGCUCAGGACGAACGCUGGCGGCGUGCUUAACACAUGCAAGUCGAGCGAGGAGAUAACUGGAAGUUCUUCGGAAUGGAAGGUUAUGUUCGAGCGGCGGACGGGUGAGUAACGCGUGAACAAUCUGUCCCAUGCAGGGGGAUAACAGUUGGAAACGGCUGCUAAUACCGCAUAAGCGCACAGUACCGCAUGGUACGGUGUGAAAAACUCCGGUGGUAUGGGAUGGACCCGCGUCUGAUUAGCUUGUUGGUGAGGUAACGGCCCACCAAGGCGACGAUCAGUAGCCGACCUGAGAGGGUGACCGGCCACAUUGGGACUGAGACACGGCCCAAACUCCUACGGGAGGCAGCAGUGGGGAAUAUUGCACAAUGGGGGAAACCCUGAUGCAGCGACGCCGCGUGAGCGAAGAAGUAUUUCGGUAUGUAAAGCUCUAUCAGCAGGGAAGAAGAAUGACGGUACCUGACUAAGAAGCACCGGCUAAAUACGUGCCAGCAGCCGCGGUAAUACGUAUGGUGCAAGCGUUAUCCGGAUUUACUGGGUGUAAAGGGAGCGCAGGCGGUGCGGCAAGUCUGAUGUGAAAGCCCGGGGCUCAACCGCGGGACUGCAUUGGAAACUGUCGUACUAGAGUGUCGGAGAGGUAAGUGGAAUUCCUAGUGUAGCGGUGAAAUGCGUAGAUAUUAGGAGGAACACCAGUGGCGAAGGCGGCUUACUGGACGAUAACUGACGCUGAGGCUCGAAAGCGUGGGGAGCAAACAAAAUUAGAUACCCUGGUAGUCCACGCCGUAAACGAU
RNAcentral lists this ribosomal RNA (802 nucleotides) under uncultured bacterium. RNAcentral describes it as "bacterial SSU rRNA". It matches the Rfam family "Bacterial small subunit ribosomal RNA", at positions 8 to 810 of the family's 1533-position model. The record is from RNAcentral.